UACAGAGGUCUCAAGCGUUGUUCGGAAUUACUGGGCGUAAAGGGUGCGCAGGCCGCGCGGGCAGUCAAAUGUGUAAUCCAGGGGCUCAACCCCUGAACUGCGCUUGAUACUUCCGCGCUCGAGCUUGGAGAGGACGUCUGGAAUUCCUGGUGUAGCGGUGAAAUGCGCAGAUAUCAGGAGGAACACCGGUGGCGAAGGCGGG
RNAcentral lists this ribosomal RNA (202 nucleotides) under uncultured bacterium. RNAcentral describes it as "partial 16S ribosomal RNA". It matches the Rfam family "Bacterial small subunit ribosomal RNA", at positions 524 to 725 of the family's 1533-position model. The record is from RNAcentral.